This 482-nucleotide ribosomal RNA is filed under the name uncultured bacterium. RNAcentral describes it as "partial 16S ribosomal RNA". It matches the Rfam family "Bacterial small subunit ribosomal RNA", at positions 30 to 507 of the family's 1533-position model. The record is from RNAcentral.
AUUGAACGCUGGCGGCAUGCCUUACACAUGCAAGUCGAACGGUAACAGGUCUUCGGACGCUGACGAGUGGCGAACGGGUGAGUAAUGCAUCGGAACGUGCCCAGUCGUGGGGGAUAACUGCUCGAAAGAGCAGCUAAUACCGCAUACGACCUGAGGGUGAAAGCGGGGGACCGUAAGGCCUCGCGCGAUUGGAGCGGCCGAUGUCAGAUUAGCUAGUUGGUGGGGUAAAGGCCUACCAAGGCAACGAUCUGUAGUUGGUCUGAGAGGACGACCAGCCACACUGGGACUGAGACACGGCCCAGACUCCUACGGGAGGCAGCAGUGGGGAAUUUUGGACAAUGGGCGCAAGCCUGAUCCAGCAAUGCCGCGUGCAGGAAGAAGGCCUUCGGGUUGUAAACUGCUUUUGUCAGGGAAGAAAUCUUAUGGGCUAAUACCCCGGGAGGAUGACGGUACCUGAAGAAUAAGCACCGGCUAACUACGUG